Long non-coding RNA from Clupea harengus (Atlantic herring), 827 nucleotides. RefSeq lists it as uncharacterized. The record is from RefSeq and is a predicted model, not a curated record. The transcript has 3 exons. Lineage: Eukaryota; Metazoa; Chordata; Actinopteri; Clupeiformes; Clupeidae.
GAGGAGAAAAACAGCAGAGCAGAUCACAAGGAAGAUCAACACACACCGACUGAAAUCUGUGACAGAGGAUAUUCUUUGUUGGUGAUUCUGGGGCUGAAACAGUGGAUGUUCCAUUCCAUGUGGAUGAAGCUCCCUCGUCUUGACCGAGACGUCUCCCGUCUGACAGCGAUGACGCAAGAGGGAGGGUGACAGGUCUCAAGCCUUUAACAAGUCUCUACAUUUAUGCUCCUGUUAGUGAAAGGACAGUGAAGAUAUGACAGGAGGUGAGUGGGAGAGAGAGAUGAGGAGCAGGAGAGAGAGAUGACCUCAGGCCGGACUCAAACCUGGGUCGUCGUGGGCACUGGACCCGUCUGUGGUGUGGGAUACUGAUGCUACCGCUGUGCCAAUGGCUCCCCCUAUGUCCGUGCACUUCAAUGAAACUCAGCUGUACUGAACUUCAUCACCUCAGUGACUUAAAUUAUGUAAAACUUGACAUUCUCCCUGUUGGAUAUGGCUACACUGAGGACAUUUAAGAGAUAAUGAGAUGGCUGACUAUGGAGAUCUAUGUGAUUUGUGAAACGGACAACAGACAAAACAGAAGUUGUGUACAUGAGGAUUUACACUGACGGCUCUCAUAUUUAAACACUUUGGAGGGUUACACAAUCAAACUAUAUAACCACCAAAGUGGAUCUUCUGACAAAAUCCUAUAUUUAUCACCAUUAAUCUAACCCAUGGUUAAGGGGCGUUACAGUACACAUAUAGCCUAUUUGUCAUCCUACAAGCUGACUUCAGUGAGUGAGGGAGAGAGAGGGAGAGAGAGAGAGAGCAGAGGGUGAGAGAGAGGGAGA